GUUUAUGUCAAUGAAGCUUGGUGAAACUUCAAUUUUCACUCUAAUUGCUGUAAACAAACCGUCAGAAGAAGAUGAAUGCAAUGUCCCUACCAUUGCGAGUAUCUGACAAUAUUCAUUUCUAUUGAAAUGCGUAAACAUUAGUAAACAGUUGACUAAAAAAUGCUACUUCACAUGUCAUCAUCAGGCACUUCAAUGCAUGUUUUUUGACAAAACAAAUUCUAACAGUGCAUCAACACCUACAUCUAUAUCCAUCAAUGUAGGAAGUCAAAAAGCGCAAGAGACAACCCAAAACUAAGUUAGUCAUUUUGAGCUGAAUGUGUGCUGGUUCUCUUGUUGUGGCCUGCUGCUCCACAUUUCUUUCACCUGCUUGUAUUACAUGUAUGUGGCUUACCAUGUGAUCUUGCUGUUCAACAGCCCCUUUAUACUAGCUUUCUUUGAUCUUCGAGCCUUGGCCUUGGUUUGGAUGGGGGUGUUAGAGGAACUUGGCCUGGAUUACUCCACAACUCAGGGCUUCUCAUGGGAGAGAUGGUAUAUGAAUAUGUAGUAAUGUAAGCUGCUUUUUGUAUAGUCCAUCGGUUGGGUGUCCAUUUUCCAAGAACGCAAAGCUUUCUAUCACAUGAGAACAUUGUAUGCCACUUAGCUACCAACUCCUACAUGGGCAAGUUCUUGCUCUCAAGUCCACUGAAGAUUAUUUUAUGUGCAUUUGUAUAAGCAUAAAGACGAUAAAUAGAAAAAAUGUAUCCACACAGAUAGUUGUUAAUUAGCAUUAUAUAUGCGAUGGUAUCUUACUCGAUAAGGAUGGCUUUAAUCAUUUUGAAACUAUCUAUUGAAAACCAGGAAUACAAAAUAGAUACAAGGAAAUGUGAAUGGGCAAAGUACCUAUUCAUUUUUAACCAGAUUCCAUAGGACUCCACACCAUCAACCAUCAAAAUAAAUUUGAGGUCAGCAAUAUAUAUUUUUUCUCCAUUCCAUUCAAUUAUCAUUUUCCAGAUGCCCCAGCGAAAUUUAAUGACAAUAUGGCCAUCAAUGUACACAAGCCUCCGACUUCACCUGAGUUUGAAACAUAGCAUGAUAUAUACAGGCAUGUACAGUCAUUUUGACUCCACAAUUCUUUUUCUGUUGAGUGCACUAUUCACCAUAUAUAUUUCUCCGACUUCAUUUAAAUAAGGCUGAACAAAUUUCUUCACAAACGUGCUAUCAGGGAUUUUAGUAAUAGUUGAAAGAAGAGGCCACUUUCCAAUCAAAUUCUUACUCUCCAAAACUCCUAAAACUUGCAUUCUGGGCUUAAUCUUCUUUUCAACACUGUAAGUCAAUGAUAUUGGACAGUUAACAAUACAUGAAAGAUCAUACUUCCCGGUUGCAAGUAAAAGCUCUACUACCUUACUUAUUUUCCUCUGUGAUACAGAAAAUACCUGAGGAGCCUUUUGAAACAUUUUCAAAAUAUCAUCUUCCGAAAACCCCAAAUUCCUAAAAUGCCUUAACUUGAGUUCCCAAUUCUCAUUGCUCAUUGAACCAACAACCCGAACAGCAUGAAUAAACAAUUUGGAACUUCUACAAGUCCCCAUCUCAUCAACCAUUUUAACAAACAUUUUCAUAUUUUUUGGACUGCACAUGAGAAACCUUGGAAAAUUAUACAUUUUCUUUAUGAUUUGUUCCAUGCCUGCACCACAACUCUUUAAAAAUUCAAUAUUAGGUACCAUAAUCUUCUCCAAAUCUGUUUUCAGGUACCACCCAGAAAUCUUUAAAACCUUAGUUAUCUCUGCACUAGAUCCCAAUAAUCUUUUCAAAACUGAUAAUGACGAUCUGACCCUACUGUAUGCACUUCGAUGCAAAUUUGCUGGAUCGAUUGAAAUAAUCUUAGCAAUGUCUUCGGCAGAAAAGCCCAAAUCUUGGAAAAUCUUGAAUUUGGGCUUGAUGGUAUUCUCAAGACUUGCAGCAAGCAAACCAGGCAUAGUUUUCACGACUCUCUCCAGCUGACUCUUUGAAAAACCACUCUCCUUGAGAAAUGAUAAUAUUGAAUCAGAUUUUUGAGGAUUCUUUAUACGAGUUAAAACAGAGGCAACUUGUGAAGCUGUUUCAGGAGAAAAUUGGUGUUUGUGUAGCAGGAAAUCAUACACUGUAAGAUCAGUUUUCACUUUCUUUUCGGUUGAGGAAGAGGAAUAAAGGAGAGAAAGUGAGAAAGAAAAAUGGGAUUUGUAAAGAAAUGAAGGGUUACUUUUGCAUAAACACACAGCCAUUAUCUUUGAAGUAUUGUGGAUUACCUCUAUGAAUCAUAUAUGUUGAACCUUGGAAGAUGAUUCAGUAAAGCUUCUACAAUUGGAAUUCUCUCAAAAAAAAAUUUCUAGUGUGUUUAGGAUCUAGGGUUAUUGGGAGUGUGAAGAAGAACACACCACUCCGCAGAGGAAAUAAGACUAGUGUGUUAUGGGCUCACACGAAA
RNAcentral lists this long non-coding RNA (2437 nucleotides) under Olea europaea subsp. europaea. The record is from RNAcentral. Lineage: Eukaryota; Viridiplantae; Streptophyta; Magnoliopsida; Lamiales; Oleaceae.